AAAAAAAGUUGCAAUUCCUUGCCUCCACUGUGAGACAAACCCCAGCCACAUCUCCAGCACACAAGAACUUCCAAAUGCCUGAACCACAGCGGCCAGGCGUUCCUCCAGAAACUCCUCCCACAGGAGCUUGCUACACGUGCCGGAAAUCUGGCCACUGGGCCAAGGAAUGCCCGCAGCCCAGGAUUCCUCCUAAGCCGCAUCCCAUCUGUGUGGGACCCCACUGAAAAUCGGACUGUUCAACUCACCUGGCAGCCACUCCCAGAGCCCCUGGAACUCUGGCCCAAGGCUCUCUGACUGACUCCUUCUCGGCUUAGCGGCUGAAGACUGACGCUGCCCGAUCACCUCGAAAGCCCCGUAGACCAUCACAGACGCCGAGCUUCGAGUAACUCUCACAGUGGAAGCCCGCCUGCCCCCAGGUGAAAUAAACAGCCAUGUUGCUCACACAAAGCUUGUUUGGUGGUCUCUUCACAUGGACGCGCAUGAAAUUUGGUGCCAUGACUCGGAUCGGGGACCUCCCUUGGGAGAUCAAUCCCCUGUACUCCUGUUCUUUGCUCCAUGAGAGAGCUCCACCUACGACCUCAGGUCCUCAGACCGACCAGCCCAAGGAAUAUCUCACCAAUUUUAAAUCAGGCGGCAGGAAUGUCAGGCCUCUGAGCCCAAGCCAAGCCAUCGCAUCCCCUGUGACUUGCACGUAUACAUCCAGAUGGCCUGAAGUAACUGAAGAUCCACAAAAGAAGUAAAAAUAGCCUUAACUGAUGACAUUCCACCAUUGUGAUUUGUUCCUGCCCCACCUAACUGAUCAAUGUACUUUGUAAUCUCCCCCACCCUUAAGAAGGUUGUUUGUAAUUCUCCCCACCCUUGAGAAUGUACUGUGUGAGAUCCGCCCCUGCCCGCAAAACAUUUCUCUUAACUUCACCGCCUAUCCCAAAACCUAUAAGAACUAAUGAUAAUCCACCACGCUUUGCUGACUCUCUUUUUGGACUCAGCCCGCCUGCACCCAGGUGAAAUAAACAGCCAUGUUGCUCACAAAAAAAUAAAUAAAUAAAAUAAGCAAAACAAUAUGAGUAAGACGGUCAUAGAAAAAUACAUAGGCCUUAAACACAUUAUAAAUUAAAAAUUUUUCAUAACAAAUUUAAA
Molecule: long non-coding RNA, 1137 nt
Organism: Gorilla gorilla gorilla (western lowland gorilla)
Lineage: Eukaryota; Metazoa; Chordata; Mammalia; Primates; Hominidae
Exons: 3
Source: RefSeq, a predicted model, not a curated record